Long non-coding RNA from Biomphalaria glabrata, 599 nucleotides. RefSeq lists it as uncharacterized. The record is from RefSeq and is a predicted model, not a curated record. Lineage: Eukaryota; Metazoa; Mollusca; Gastropoda; Planorbidae. The transcript is spliced from 3 exons.
GUUUGGACUAAGCCAGACUGUCAAAUAGGCAACAGGAAGUAAAUUAAAAAGAGCUAGCCACGUACGUCUGCUCAUUAUGUUUCUUUUCACUUGAUCCCCUAAAGUGUGGCUGUUGCUAACUCCUAGAGGCGUUACUAUUCUAGGCUCCUUGGAAACUACAGAAAGAUUGAUUGAUUUGUUAUGUUCCUGCAGCACAACAGGGAAGGACAGUGGGAAGAGUUUGAACUCAAGACCAUCAUGACAACAGUUCAAAGAGCAGACCACUCACAGAUAUCAUUUGGUUUGGAUUUAUUUUUUCAUAGUUCAAGCCAAAAUUUAACUAGUGGUGCCUCCACUGCAGGGAAGAAGACGAAAUGGUUUCACAUUGCCAGACUUGAUGAAAUCCAAUUCAAAAGUUUGGGAAGCCACUUGCUUUUGACUUGCAUAAAAGUAUAAAUAUUAAAAUAUGUCACAAGCAACUGUCAGCUUUCAAUCAAGGGUUUUUAUAAGAGAAGAUUUGAGACUCUCAAGUUUGAAGAUGUUUUGUUUUUUUUAUGCUAAAACCUGCAUUAAUAAUAUAUAUGUUUUGAAUUAAGAACACAGCCAAUAAAUAAUAUGUG